Molecule: ribosomal RNA, 405 nt
Filed under: uncultured bacterium
Lineage: Bacteria
Description: bacterial SSU rRNA
Rfam family: Bacterial small subunit ribosomal RNA
Source: RNAcentral
UAGGGAAUAUUGCACAAUGGGCGAAAGCCUGAUGCAGCAACGCCGCGUGCGUGAUGAAGGCCUUCGGGUCGUAAAGCGCUUUUAGAGGGGAUGAAUCAAGACAGUACCUUCAGAAUAAGGAUCGGCUAACUACGUGCCAGCAGCCGCGGUAAAACGUAGGAUCCGAGCGUUAUCCGGAAUCACUGGGCGUAAAGGGCGUGUAGGCGGUUUGGCAAGUCGGUCAUGAAAGCUCCCGGCUCAACUGGGAGAGGUUGUUCGAUACUGCUAGACUAGAGGGCAAGAGAGGGAGGUGGAAUUCCCGGUGUAGAGGUGAAAUGCGUAGAUAUCGGGAGGAACACCAGUGGCGAAGGCGGCCUCCUGGCUUGCAUCUGACGCUGAGACGCGAAAGCGUGGGGAGCGAACGGG